UGGGGAAUAUUGGGCAAUGGGGGCAACCCUGACCCAGCAACGCCGCGUGAAGGAAGAAGGCUUUCGGGUUGUAAACUUCUUUGACGAGGGACGAAAAAAAUGACGGUACCUCGAAAACAAGCCACGGCUAACUACGUGCCAGCAGCCGCGGUAAUACGUAGGUGGCAAGCGUUGUCCGGAUUUACUGGGUGUAAAGGGCGCGUAGGCGGGACUGCAAGUCAGAUGUGAAAUGCGGAGGCUCAACCUCUGAGCUGCAUUUGAAACUGUAGUUCUUGAGUAUCGGAGAGGCAGGCGGAAUUCCUAGUGUAGCGGUGAAAUGCGUAGAUAUUAGGAGGAACACCAGUGGCGAAGGCGGCCUGCUGGACGACAACUGACGCUGAGGCGCGAAAGCGUGGGGAGCAAACAGG
RNAcentral lists this ribosomal RNA (407 nucleotides) under uncultured bacterium. RNAcentral describes it as "bacterial SSU rRNA". It matches the Rfam family "Bacterial small subunit ribosomal RNA", at positions 355 to 776 of the family's 1533-position model. The record is from RNAcentral.